This 980-nucleotide unclassified non-coding RNA is filed under the name Hevea brasiliensis (rubber tree). The record is from RNAcentral. Lineage: Eukaryota; Viridiplantae; Streptophyta; Magnoliopsida; Malpighiales; Euphorbiaceae.
UUUGUUACUACAACAAUUACAAUCUUUCUCAGCCACGCCAUUUUUGUAAGAAUUGUAAAAGGUAUUGGACUAAAGGAGGUAUUUUGAGGAAUAUUCCAGUUGGUGGAAGCUCUCGUAAGAACACAAAACGAUCUUCUUCGAAUAGCUGUAAACGCUCCUCAACGAUGACGAUUUCAUCUUCAACUUCAUCAGAACAAAAUUCAAAAACAGAGCAUUUUGAUACCCCUGUUGUUCGGAACAGCCCGAUUGUUGACGCCAAUGGGCCUUUCGGCUCGCUACUAGCAUCAAACGGGCCGGAGAUAGGGAAUUUUUUAAAUGUUUUGAAUCCUAACGGGCCCGAUUCGGGCUCAGACGCUGCUGCCGCUCAAAGUGGGAAUAGUAAUAAUAAUCAUGAAUUUUUGGGUGAAGAUUCUAAUUGUUGGAAUGGUACUAAUGGUUGGGCUGAUCUUGCUAUUUACACCCCAGGUUCAACCUUUCAGUAAUUAAUUAAUUAAUUAAUUACUGAAAGGUUGAACCUGGGGUGUAAAUAGCAAGAUCAGCCCAACCAUUAGUACCAUUCCAACAAUUAGAAUCUUCACCCAAAAAUUCAUGAUUAUUAUUACUAUUCCCACUUUGAGCGGCAGCAGCGUCUGAGCCCGAAUCGGGCCCGUUAGGAUUCAAAACAUUUAAAAAAUUCCCUAUCUCCGGCCCGUUUGAUGCUAGUAGCGAGCCGAAAGGCCCAUUGGCGUCAACAAUCGGGCUGUUCCGAACAACAGGGGUAUCAAAAUGCUCUGUUUUUGAAUUUUGUUCUGAUGAAGUUGAAGAUGAAAUCGUCAUCGUUGAGGAGCGUUUACAGCUAUUCGAAGAAGAUCGUUUUGUGUUCUUACGAGAGCUUCCACCAACUGGAAUAUUCCUCAAAAUACCUCCUUUAGUCCAAUACCUUUUACAAUUCUUACAAAAAUGGCGUGGCUGAGAAAGAUUGUAAUUGUUGUAGUAACAAA